CCAGCUCCAAUAGCGUAUAUUUAAGUUGUUGCAGUUAAAAAGCUCGUAGUUGGAUUUUGGGUUGGAGCGACCGGUCCGCCUUUUGGGUGUGCACUGGUCUCUCCAUCCUUCUUGUCGGGGACGCGCUUCUUGCCUUAACUGGCUGGGACGUGGAGUCGGCGAUGUUACUUUGAAAAAAUUAGAGUGUUCAAAGCAGGCAUAUGCUCUGAAUACAUUAGCAUGGAAUAACAUUAUAGGACUCCGGUCCUAUUGUGUUGGUCUUCGGGACCGGAGUAAUGAUUAAUAGGGACAGUUGGGGGCAUUCGUAUUUCAUUGUCAGAGGUGAAAUUCUUGGAUUUAUGAAAGACGAACUUCUGCGAAAGCAUUUGCCAAGGAUGUUUUCA
This 383-nucleotide ribosomal RNA is filed under the name uncultured Coleochaete. RNAcentral's name for it is "SSU rRNA". It matches the Rfam family "Eukaryotic small subunit ribosomal RNA", at positions 585 to 972 of the family's 1831-position model. Lineage: Eukaryota; Viridiplantae; Streptophyta; Coleochaetophyceae; Coleochaetales. The record is from RNAcentral.